CUUCAUGGGAAAAGGGAAGCAUCUUUCAUCUGUGGUUCUGUGUCUGGUACCUCUUGCAGCUAGUGCUGGGGGUUGAGCAGCAAGCAGUCCUGAAGGAUUAAUGCCUUUGGGAUGGCAAAGGCCAGGUCUCUUCAGGAAGAGGACUGGCUGCAGCACAUGCCAGCCACCACUCUGCUCAGCUCAAUGGCUGUUUGCUGGUGCUGUAUUUACAAAAUCAAUUAACAGUGGCAAUAAAUGAUUGGAGAAGUUUAAACUUCUGGUCUUGUGGAAGAACGAAUCCUUCAGGAGGAGCACGUGGAGUUCUGUGAAAAGCUUUAUUGAACUCAAAGGUGAUGUGGAGCAGUGGAUGAGGGUUUGCCUUCUGAUCGAAGCCAGCAGGUGGCUGUAAUAUAAAUUAUAAGAUCUACAGGUUCUCCGGUGAAUCUGUUGUCCCUUAUGCUCAUUACAGCCAUAAAUACUUGAAUGAUGUAAUUACUAAAGCCAGUUAAAAGGAAGAUUGACUGAAAAUGAAGAAGCCUCCAUUGAUUGUUAUAAGAGAUGCCAGCCCUUGGGGAAGGUAAAAUGGAUGCAGAACUGUGGCCACGGAGUGAAGUCAUUGGUGGAGUCUCACACAAGUCAAGGCUGUUUGCUAUACCCAUGCAUGAUCUGGGAGAGUGAGCAGUGAGUUGAGAAAAAUCAUCAGAGAAUGCUUAGGGAUGAGGAAGUUAAGGGUUGACUGCAAGGGGCUGCAGAAGGACUUUAUGACACUGACUGAAUGAGGAAAUAGCUAGUAAAAUACAGUGCAGAUAAGUGAGACAUUUGAUAAGGAAGUGGGGAAGCAAUCCCUAUUUUAUAUACUGCAUUGGGUACCAAGUUGUUGAUUGCCAAGCAGGAAUGAGUUCUGGGUUUAUGGAGCUGUGAAAUACUCUCAAUUUGCAUUAAAAAAAAAAAAAAAGGCAAUUCCUUAAAAUCCAUUGUAUCUAGUCAAAACAGUCGUUCCAGUUCGCAGGUAUAGGUAUGUACCCCAACCUACCCAGUGAAGUCUGAAUGCUGACAUUGAUCAAUCAGCCUUGUGUUUCCCAUAUAAGCUUGUUGCUGUCAAGUCGCUGUCACUCCGCUUCUCAGUUGUACUGUAUCUGCCUAAGGUGUAGGGAAAGGGGUCAGCCUGAGACAUGAAUUCAGUGUAUAAACUUAAUCUCUUGGUGCAUCCCCUUCCAUACCAGUUGGUACUGGUACCUACAUAUUGGAUUGGACCAUAGCCUGUGUUUGGAGAACCAAAGAAACUGUGGCGUCCUCUUGUUUAUAAUGGUUUUUGGUUUACAUAUCGAUACUGGGAGGUUUCAGGUGCUAAUAAGCAUUUUGACAGCACUGUUCUUUGCAAUUGCUGGGGUGGACUGCCGUUUCUUCUGCUUUGCCACAGGCAAUUCAUUCACUGCCUGCAGUGAUAGUCACUGACCAUUCAUUAGGUUUAUGUUCCAGAUUCCGUGAUGUAACUUUUCUGCUGACAUGGCCUUGGGAAACACUUGUUUCCCUUGUAGGCCACUCUUUACCUACAUGGCAGAGUGCUUAUUUAGAGCUCAAUAGGACUUUUUCUCAUUUUUGGAGGGCGUAGAGCAUGGGAAAGUCAUAUGCCCGUCCAUAUAGGUCAUCCAUUUCGCACUCCAUACCAGAAAAAGACAAUGUGAGGAACAUGCCUUGAAAACAAGAGUUGCUUGAAGAAAGCAUCUGUGGCUCCUCUCUUUAUUAGUGUGCUUCUUGCUGUGAAGAUUGCAUGAGCGUGGUGGGGAGAAAGGAGCUGGAUAUGUUCCUGUGCCUUUUGCAGGUGACUGAUGGAUCUCUGCAAGGUGCAGUUCAGCUGGGGCCUGAUGGGAGCUGGAGCACAGAGGACGUGAGGAGAGAAUGGCUCAGCAUCUUCCCUGACCAGGUUUUCAGGACUUCUGCUAAGGUGGCAGACACAACCUGGGCGACCACCAGUGGAUCAGCUUGUAAGAAGAAGAUGGAUUGUAUGGGGCAGUACCUUAUUUUCUGGGGAUGAUACUCAGCUUCAAGAAGAACAAACUAUGAAGCACACUGAAUGUGCAUUGCCGUGAUGCCUGUGUCUAAAGCCUUGUGCUAUGGCAAACUUCAGACCUGAAAGAAAUCCUAUUGUUUGUCGAUGGGAGAGGCCCCAGCUCAGCUUUAAUCAGUAAUUAAAACCAAGCUCAUGUCAUAAAUCUCUUGGCAUCCUGAGCGAAGCUGGUGUUCCCUGAGAAUGAAGGUGGAGCAAGAACUCACCCUCAUCAAGUCUGCAGCUGACACCAAGCUGGGGACAGCCAUCAUCAU
Molecule: long non-coding RNA, 2301 nt
Organism: Gallus gallus (chicken)
Lineage: Eukaryota; Metazoa; Chordata; Aves; Galliformes; Phasianidae
Source: Ensembl